AAAAUUUCUUAUGAAUCUUAAAUUAUGUAAUAAAUAGUUUAGAAGAGAUAAAAGAAAUUUGUUUUUAGUAUUAUUUAGUAUUUUAGUAUUAUGAUGCGGUUAAUGAAGCAGCUAAAAAGUCCUUCCAGUCAGUUGCAACAACAAUUAAAGCAGCAGGAAUCAGCCAAGUACACAUGGAAGUGAUUGUUAUGAGGAUUGCAAAAGUUUUAAAAAUCAGAAACUGAAGAAGGCAUUGAUAAUAAGCAGAUAAUAAAAAAAGCAAAAGUACUGAUUAUACAAAUCUUUUAAAGGUUAGCUAAUUUGAUGUUACAAUAAACAUGAAAUAAAGUUUGUAAAGACCUUAGUGCUAGAAAUACUUGCAUGCGUAAAGUUAAGAUUAUGCAAGUAAGUUGCCCUACUUUUAUCUUUGAAGACUAAUAAUAAUUGUAAUGAACAUAUCUCAAACAAUAUACACUCGGAUUUACAUUUUAGUUAAACGAUCACUAUUUCCACAGCCACUUUGCCUCAAGCAUUCAAUUGCAUUCUAAGGUAUCUUUAUUCAAAUCCAGUGUGACUACUAUAGACCGUAAAAUGGACCAAUAAACUCGAAAAUUGAAUUCUAAAAUACCAUUAUUCACAUAACUACUAUAUCAAAGUCUAAACUAAUGGAUUGAUCAAGAAGGGCACUGCAGCUUUCCUGCAGUUAUGCAACUUAUCAACCCAUAACUGCAAUAACUACAAGUUUUUUUAAUAAGAGAAAAGAUUGUAUGACUUCGGUAUCCGCAAUAUGGUAUCGUGCAUUGGUUCUUAUCUUAGAAUGGCUUCCUUCCGUAUAGGUGGAAAUAGGAAAGGUUAUGUCCUUUUUUCUAAAUCUUAAGACAAAGAGGCUUAAUCAAAGCAAAGAUGACAAUGAUCAUUAUGGAGCCGAUCAUGAUGACGAAUACGAUAAUGCAUAUAAUAAUAAAUAAAAUGAUUUUACUUGUAUAUUUAUA
Non-coding RNA from Hydra vulgaris (swiftwater hydra), 971 nucleotides. The record is from RefSeq and is a predicted model, not a curated record. NCBI's taxonomy places the organism in Eukaryota, Metazoa, Cnidaria, Hydrozoa, Anthoathecata, Hydridae.